AUGUUUCACAAGCACAUUGCCCAAUCAGCAGCAUGCCCUCGUUGUCAAGACCCGAAUGAGGAUGCUCUCCAUCUCAUCUCCAACUGUUCUUAUGCGACACAGGUUUGGUCUUCCUUGGGUCUGCCGGCUCCAACCUCCCUUGCUGCUCUCCACCAACACCCAACGAUUCUGGGCCUCAACCCCAACAUCUGGCCAUCAGUGGCUCUGACUGUUUCAUGGAAGCUAUGGGAUUCGAGAAACGCUCUCGUGUUCAGAAACGAGGAUCACUCCCACAGAACUACGAUAAGAAAUAUUGUAGCAGAUUUCUCCCUCUGGGUUUUCCGGUUCAAAAAGAAAGAAGGCAAUAUCUCUACUAGGCAAUGGCUUAACUUUCUCUCUUCAGCAAUCCCCUAA
RNAcentral lists this ribosomal RNA (393 nucleotides) under Triticum aestivum (bread wheat). Its description in RNAcentral is "partial small subunit ribosomal RNA". Lineage: Eukaryota; Viridiplantae; Streptophyta; Magnoliopsida; Poales; Poaceae. The record is from RNAcentral.